This 745-nucleotide long non-coding RNA is filed under the name Mus musculus (house mouse). RNAcentral's name for it is "predicted gene, 56814". Lineage: Eukaryota; Metazoa; Chordata; Mammalia; Rodentia; Muridae. The record is from RNAcentral.
AACUGUCAGUCUGAGCAAAAGAUGGAAGGAUCCCAUUCGUACGCAAGCCUUGACGAUGAAGACAUACAACAGGAAUCAGGUCAGUGGCUGCAGAGAUAGCAAUGACUGAGUGCUUGCUUAUUAUUAUGCUUACGGCUGAGCUUGAAACUUCUAGUUUCUUUGGAAAGUUAAUUAUGUCAAAUGAUGUUUUACUGGGGCACACAGGCGAAAGAAAAUUUUCUUUGAAGCAGACACAGGUGAAAGGAUGUUUUGAUACAGCAGACAUGUGAAAGGAUGCUUGAUAUAGGAGUAGAAAUAUGACUCCACAGAUGGUGGGGGACGAGCACUGAGCAUUGGUUUACAUGUAUUGGUUAACCUUACAAAGCAUUGAUGAGCUCAACUUGUGGUAAUGAUGACACCAUUGAGAGAAACUCAAAGAACUACUUGUGAGGCUUCUGUGGCAUCUUGCCACUUCUGUGGGCUCUCCUCAGGCAAGUUGGUGAACCUUGAGGUUUCUUCAGGAUUGAACUACAACUACUGGUUCCUGCCUAGUGUCUGCCUGCCGAGAGGACUGGACUGGACUGUUGCUGAGUCAUAGUUGGUGUUUGCUACGGGACUGAACUGCUGCCAAAGAGGACAAGCUUGCCUCAAAGAACUGAACAAGUCCACUUCCCCCAUAUCCUGAUAUCUUUUCUCUUCCACUACCUCUGCUGGGUGGUGGGCUAGAGGAGAGAUUGAACCCUUAUUAAAAGUAGGUUGCAAAAAA